Molecule: long non-coding RNA, 856 nt
Filed under: Rhipicephalus microplus (southern cattle tick)
Lineage: Eukaryota; Metazoa; Arthropoda; Arachnida; Ixodida; Ixodidae
Description: uncharacterized LOC119160804
Source: RNAcentral
CUCGCGGAAGGAAGCCCUGGCAAGGCAUAUGGCCAUAGAGAAAGAAUACCACCACCAAUCGGAUGCUUGCGAAGUAAUCGUGUGCGGCUCGUCUGACCUAACACGCUGUGCUGAGUUAGAUACUCGUGAAUAAAGCUUGUGCCCCCACCUCUCACUGCCGAAAAGCCGCGCCAUUUAGGACGCAAUGAAGCCGAGUCGCCACUACGUCUGUUGCCAAGUGCUCGGAAGGAAGCCCUGCGCCGAGUAGGAUACUCGCGAAAGAAGCGUGUGCGCCCACCUCCCACUGAACAAACGCCCUACUCCGAUUUGGAUACUCAUGAAGAAAGCGUGUGCCCCACUUUUCACUGCCGAGUCACAAAGCCGCGCCGUUCAGGAUGCAUUGAAGCCGAGUCGACUGACUACGCCUGAUACACCUAGGCCUACUGCGAAAAACGCCACACCGGGGAUUACUGCACUCCACUUGCUGGCUCAACUGCUGGGCACCCUGUAGGGACCCCCUUGUAAGCCCUGGCCUACGCCUAGCAGUGCUGGUCGGUUGCACCCUUAUGUGACGGGCCCGGCGACAUAUUGCUGCAGCGGUAGCCUUGAGUGCCAGCAUCAGUCCUGUCCCAUCGCUGCUGUUUUGAACACGAGCAAGCUCCUCUCCAAGGCCCUUCACGAUAUCAAGGCUGGCCACCAAAAACAGUGUACUAAAACCUCGGUGCUAAGGGCUUGAAUGCCACUUGGUUGUAGUGCCACCAACAGCGAGGGAAUUGCGUCGUGAUGGAAAAAGAGGAUGCGCGUGAUCACGUGCGAUGCAGCAGCAAUACUGGCGCGAGGGGGACAGAAAAUAAAGAAAACAUUGGUUGUGUGAAAA